GACGAACGCUGGCGGCGUGCUUAACACAUGCAAGUCGAACGGAAAGGCCCUGCUUUUGUGGGGUGCUCGAGUGGCGAACGGGUGAGUAACACGUGAGUAACCUGCCCUUGACUUUGGGAUAACUUCAGGAAACUGGGGCUAAUACCGGAUAGGAGCUCCUGCUGCAUGGUGGGGGUUGGAAAGUUUCGGCGGUUGGGGAUGGACUCGCGGCUUAUCAGCUUGUUGGUGGGGUAGUGGCUUACCAAGGCUUUGACGGGUAGCCGGCCUGAGAGGGUGACCGGCCACCAUGGUACUGAGAGACGGCCCAGACUCCUAUGUGAGGCAGCAGUGGGGAAUAUUGCACAAUGGGCGGAAGCCUAAUGCAGCAACGCCGCGUGCGGGAUGACGGCCUUCGGGUUGUAAACCGCUUUCGCCUGUGACGAAGCGUGAUUGACGGUAAUGGGUAAAGAAGCACCGGCUAACUACGUG
Molecule: ribosomal RNA, 468 nt
Filed under: uncultured bacterium
Lineage: Bacteria
Description: partial 16S ribosomal RNA
Rfam family: Bacterial small subunit ribosomal RNA
Source: RNAcentral